GAGAAGAAGGCCAUGCAACAAGAGAGGCAGAGUCGGAGAGAGAAGAUGCCAUGCUGAUGGCUUUGAAAAUGGAAAAAGGGUCCUGAGUCAAAGAAUACAAGUGGAUUCUAGGAGCUAGGAAAGUCAGGAAACAGGCUGUACUCUGGAGCCUCCAGAAAAAACCAGUCAUGUGAACACCUUGGUGUUAGCCUGUGUGAUCAUCAUCAUCAGAGGAGGAAGGAAGUUGAGAAGGAGGAGGAAGGAAGUUGAGAAGGAGGAGGAAGGGGAACAAAGAUGAGCCGCAGCCGAGAUGUUGCCAGCUCAGGGGGAGUCAGAUUCUAGGCCAGAUCCCUGGCUCUGUGCCCCACAGCCCACCCUUUGCAUCCCCCGCUCCAGCACCUGUCAUGCACACCACGUUAUGGUGAUCUCUGGUCCAGUCUGCAAAUAUGUUGUUGCCUGGCACAAAGUAAACAGUUGAUAGAUGCUGCUGUGCUCGUCAUCGUCAAGUCGUCACUAUCAUCAUUUGCUCUGGCCAACUCCUGGUGUUUGCUGUCCUCUUAGAAGCUGUGGUAUGAAUUGCGUGGAUUGCAUUCAUGCGUCACCCUUCCCUGUGUCUACAUCCCAUGCCUGUCACUUUGCAGUUCUCCUCUCUAAAGAGGCCCACUCUGUUUCCCACCCCUUAAGUCUGGGCUGGCUUUCACCCAUAGAAUGCGACGGAAGUAACAGAGGCCAGUCCUGAGUCUAGGCCUCGAGGGGCCUUGCGCCUUUCUGCUCUGUCUUUGGCUUCUUGGUCUCCACCAUGAGAACGUGCCUGGGCUGGCCAGCAGGAGAAUGAGAUGUGUGGAGCAGAGCUGAGCUGCUGGGACCAUCCGAGAGAGUAGCCGGCAGCCAGCCAGCCCCCAACCUGUGAUCAGCAGAGCCACUCGGCUGACCUGCAGAUGAGAACAGACACACGAGCAGGCCAGAUGAGCUGAACCUCAUAGGCUCACAAGCUGAAUAAAUGCUUAUCGUUGUGCACUGCUGAGGUUUUGUGGAUAUUUGUUAGGCAGCCUUAUAGCAGCAAUCGAUAACUGAUACGGAAGCCACCGAAAGGAGCAAGCUAAGUCCUAGGGAAAAAUGUUGCCAGGCGUUUGGUCUUCUCAGAGUGAUAGCUGCUCAUUAGAAAGAAACCAACUUUGACUGUCACCUUCUCUGCCACUUGCACUCCGUUAAACCCAGAGACUGGUGGAUGCCUUUCAGCACAGCUGCACUCUGUCUCCCCUCCCUUCCUCCCAGACUCCUGUCUGAGACAGAACAGUAUCUUUGAGAACCCGAGGGCAAAAUCCUCUGCAGGAGUAGGAGGCGGCUCUUAUACAGCCCCAGGCGAUGUGGAAGGUGGGCGGAGGCUGAGCUAUUGCGCUGCUCCCCAAAUCCCAGUGCCUGGCUGCACCCCCACACCUGAAGCCUGCCUACCCUGGUUUAAGGCUCCCCCAGCCUUCCUGGUGAAGACCCCUCAUGGAUUCUUGUUACUCUCAGGAUUGUGCAAUAAACCCUUCUCCUUCACACAGAGUAGAUGUGACGGGAAAGCAUAUUUCUGGCCUGACUGUAUCGCAUCUUAGUUGACAUCUCCGCUCAGCUGGCAUUCAGGUGGGCACUACCUGCUCAUGGAAAGUCCAGGAGAAAAUGGAAGAGAAGAUUUUUUAGAAAUCAACACUUAAUUCAACGUCUUUCUUUCCUUCUUUGAAAGAGAGAGAGAGAGACAGAGAGAGAGCCGUGGACAAGUCAAUUUCACAGGGGCUGAGUAUUUACACCAGUCUGAACCUGGGCUGGAAAACUGUUCACCCCAAGCACCAUGGCGAGUAGGGAAGGAGGAGGCAGCUGCCACCUUGAAAUCACCAACACAGCUUUGUUUCAUUGGCCUUGAGUCAGCCAACACAUCAGAUGUUCCAAACAUUAGACAACCUUCCAGGCCAAUGUUAGCCCCAAAGCACAACCAAAAACCAAAGAGAAGUGUCUCAAAUGUUCCUGAAUGUUUUUACAUUUCUUGCGUAACUAUUCUGCUCUGAGGGAAUGUGACAAGAGCUGUCUGCUCCAUGGAGGCCCCAGAGAAAAUCAUUUCCCAUGCCAAGGCUGGAGCUGGUGGCUGUUUCCCUCUAGGGAACGGGGUGGGCUCCAUCACCCUCAGACAAGCUAUAAAGCAGGCUUUCAAAAAGCAUAUACUCUGUGGGAGCAAUUCCACUUCUGGAGAUAUAUUUUUAAAAAGUCAAAAGCAGGAUCUUGAAGAGAUGUGUACACACUCAUGUUCAUAGCAGCAUCAUACACAAUAGCCCAGAGGUAGAAGCAACCCAGGCGUUCAUUGAUGGAUGCAUGGAUGAACAAAAUGUGGGACAUCCAUACAAUGGAACAUUCAGCCUUCAAGAGGAAAGGGAUUCUGUCAAGGAUGCUGCAGCGUGGAUGAAGCUUGAGGACAGUAUGCCAAGUAAGGUUGCGGUCUGUUAAUAGUAUGGUAAUGCCAGCAGCUAGGACUGGAAGAGAAAGGAGUAGUAAGACUGAUGUGAAAAUAAACCAGUGUCCAAAAAGACAAA
RNAcentral lists this long non-coding RNA (2543 nucleotides) under Pongo abelii (Sumatran orangutan). Its description in RNAcentral is "lincRNA". The record is from RNAcentral. Lineage: Eukaryota; Metazoa; Chordata; Mammalia; Primates; Hominidae.